GGGAAAGUGGCUCAGUGGUAGAGUGCUUGCCUUAAAUGCAUGAGGCCCUGGGUUGGAUUCCCCAGCACCA
Non-coding RNA from Dipodomys ordii (Ord's kangaroo rat), 70 nucleotides. The record is from Rfam. Lineage: Eukaryota; Metazoa; Chordata; Mammalia; Rodentia; Heteromyidae.